Molecule: ribosomal RNA, 808 nt
Filed under: uncultured Bacteroidota bacterium
Lineage: Bacteria; Pseudomonadati; Bacteroidota
Description: bacterial SSU rRNA
Rfam family: Bacterial small subunit ribosomal RNA
Source: RNAcentral
AUGCAAGUCGUGGGGAAACGGCAUUAUGUGCUUGCACAUUCUGGACGUCGACCGGCGCACGGGUGAGUAUCGCGUAUCCAACCUGCCCCUUACUUGGGGAUACCCCGUUGAAAGACGGCCUAAUACCCGAUGUGUUUCAUUGACGGCAUCCGAUAUGAAACAAAGGUUUUUCCGGUAAGGGAUGGGGAUGCGUCUGAUUAGCUAGUUGGCGGGGCAACGGCCCACCAAGGCGACGAUCAGUAGGGGUUCUGAGAGGAAGGUCCCCCACAUUGGAACUGAGACACGGUCCAAACUCCUACGGGAGGCAGCAGUGAGGAAUAUUGGUCAAUGGACGCAAGUCUGAACCAGCCAAGUAGCGUGCAGGAUGACGGCCCUAUGGGUUGUAAACUGCUUUUAUGUGGGAAUAAAUUGGCGCACGUGUGCGCCAUUGCAUGUACCUCAUGAAUAAGGACCGGCUAAUUCCGUGCCAGCAGCCGCGGUAAUACGGAAGGUCCGGGCGUUAUCCGGAUUUAUUGGGUUUAAAGGGAGUGUAGGCGGUCUGUUAAGCGUGCUGUGAAAUUUAGGUGCUCAACAUUUAACUUGCAGCGCGAACUGUCAGACUUGAGUACACGCAGCGCAGGCGGAAUUCAUGGUGUAGCGGUGAAAUGCUUAGAUAUCAUGAGGAACUCCGAUCGCGAAGGCAGCCUGCGGGAGUGUUACUGACGCUUAAGCUCGAAGGUGCGGGUAUCGAACAGGAUUAGAUACCCUGGUAGUCCGCACAGUAAACGAUGGAUGCCCGCCGUUGGCGCCCUGCGCCUGCGGCCAAGCG